GGCUCAGUGGGAGAGCGUCUGCCUUGGAAGCAGCAGGUCCUGGGUUCAAUCCCCAAAGACA
RNAcentral lists this transfer RNA (61 nucleotides) under Podarcis lilfordi (Lilford's wall lizard). RNAcentral's name for it is "tRNA.Pro". It matches the Rfam family "tRNA", at positions 9 to 63 of the family's 71-position model. Rfam says of the family: Transfer RNA (tRNA) molecules are approximately 80 nucleotides in length. Their secondary structure includes four short double-helical elements and three loops (D, anti-codon, and T loops). The record is from RNAcentral. Lineage: Eukaryota; Metazoa; Chordata; Lepidosauria; Squamata; Lacertidae.